Molecule: long non-coding RNA, 673 nt
Organism: Anopheles merus
Lineage: Eukaryota; Metazoa; Arthropoda; Insecta; Diptera; Culicidae
Exons: 2
Source: RefSeq, a predicted model, not a curated record
CUGUCAUAUAAAUUCGCAUGACCGUAUUAAUACACGAUGCGCAACAAGGUCUAUUGAGGAUAGAGGUCGAAUUAUAGCUUGUUUCUGGUCUGACAUUUUGAAUCCUGUUUUGACAUUUCAGUAAGAAAGUGUUUACAAAUAAUUGCAGCAGAUGGGUGCUGUUCUUUUAUCUCGCAUUUUUUAGUUCAAAUACAGAAAAAACAUGUGAAAUAAUACAAAUGUUCCGUGUUACUCGUGAAGAUAACUUCAUAUGCAGCUUCGUGUACAUAUCUAGCUCCAUGUAAUCACAGGUCACGGAAACUAACUCCAAUAACUUCCAAAAGCUCCAAUCCUCAAAUUCUGCUCUUAUCUCACUUUUUCUUUCUCGUUGGCCUGCUUACGAUUGAGCCCAGCGCCGUUGAAUGGCCGGGACUACUAUUAUUUAUCAGGAGGUUCGAUGCCUUCAGCGUCCAUCAAUGCAGGCAUCCGAUCACCGACAGACCCUGCUUAGCCUGAUUCCGGAUCCACCUAGUACCAAACACAGGACCGACCACUUUCUUGGAGGGCAUUACUACGGCAUUUUCAUUACAUGCCCCAGCCAUCGUAUCAUAGGCCCUGACUACCGUUAGGAUACACGAUUUACCGUACACCUCAGAAAGCUUAGCCUUGUUGAUUUGUAUGGCAUUAGUUAUAC